GGCCCAGGUGGAGGUAGAACGGAAGCGCCGGGAGGAACUAGAGGCGAGGAUCGAGGCGGAUCGGCAGCUAGAAAGGUAGAGGACGGAGCAGAUGUUCCAAUACAUGCAGAGUGUCUUUCACAGUUUAGGUCAGACUCCACCACCUAUGCCACCGAACCUGUUCCCGUCACCUCGACCACCUCCUGCAGCUACUCCUGUGAGUCACUCUCAACCUUACAAUCAAUCUAGAGUUAAACUAGAAAGUACAGGCAUUACAGACUUACACUAGAAAAGUGACUAAUGCAAUCUCUAUAACUUUGUGCAGAAUCAAUCGGCGACGUCCAAUGCAGAAUCUUCUUGGGGGCAGCGGCCACCUGCACAUACUCCUUAGCCUCCUCAUCCAC
This 383-nucleotide long non-coding RNA is filed under the name Setaria viridis. RNAcentral describes it as "long non-coding RNA (SVIR_LNC008258)". Lineage: Eukaryota; Viridiplantae; Streptophyta; Magnoliopsida; Poales; Poaceae. The record is from RNAcentral.